RNAcentral lists this ribosomal RNA (300 nucleotides) under uncultured Archaeoglobus sp. RNAcentral describes it as "bacterial SSU rRNA". The stretch from base 52 to 300 matches the Rfam family "Bacterial small subunit ribosomal RNA", at positions 547 to 795 of the family's 1533-position model. Lineage: Archaea; Methanobacteriati; Methanobacteriota; Archaeoglobi; Archaeoglobales; Archaeoglobaceae. The record is from RNAcentral.
GUGUGGGCCGGGCGCGGGUCGGCGGCAUUAGGGCGGUGGCAGCGUGUGUCCGGAAUUAUUGUGGGUAGAGGGUGCGCGGGGGGUCGGUUAAGUCUGGUGUGAAAGCCCACGGGUCAACGGUGGAGGGUCAUGGGAGACGGGGGGACUUGGGUGCAGAAGGGGAAAGCGGAAUUCCACGUGUAGCGGUGAAAUGCGUAGAGAUGUGGAGGAGCACAAGUGGCGAAGGCGGCUUUCUGGUCUGUAACUGACGCUGACUCGCGAAAGCGUGGGGGGCAAACAGGAUUAGAUACCCUGGUAGUC